AAGAAGAUAAAAUGAUGCAGCUUGACGGAAUCAUGGAUGCUGCAUCAGAAUCCCCAGGUUUCAAUAUCCACGUCUCUGAAGAAUCUUGCGAUUCAUGAGGAAGUAUGGACAGUUAUUAGAAAAUAAAUAAUAUAACGUAAAUACAUUGGCA
Molecule: long non-coding RNA, 151 nt
Organism: Melitaea cinxia (Glanville fritillary)
Lineage: Eukaryota; Metazoa; Arthropoda; Insecta; Lepidoptera; Nymphalidae
Exons: 3
Source: RefSeq, a predicted model, not a curated record